Molecule: ribosomal RNA, 279 nt
Filed under: uncultured bacterium
Lineage: Bacteria
Description: partial 16S ribosomal RNA
Rfam family: Bacterial small subunit ribosomal RNA
Source: RNAcentral
UGCCAGCCGCCGCGGUAAUACGUAGGUGGCAAUCGUGAUCCGGAAUUAUUGGGCGUAAAGCGCGCGUCGGCGGUUUUUUAAGUCUGAUGUGACAGCCCACGGCUCAACCGUGGGGGGUCAUUGGAAACUGGAAAACUUGAGUGCAGAAGAGGAAAGUGGAAUUCCAUGUGUAGCGGUGAAAUGCGCAGAGAUAUGGAGGAACACCAGUGGCGAAGGCGACUUUCUGGUCUGUAACUGACGCUGAUGUGCGGCAGCGUGUGGAUCAAACAUGAUUAGAUA